This 253-nucleotide ribosomal RNA is filed under the name uncultured bacterium. RNAcentral's name for it is "partial 16S ribosomal RNA". It matches the Rfam family "Bacterial small subunit ribosomal RNA", at positions 524 to 776 of the family's 1533-position model. The record is from RNAcentral.
UACGAAGGGGGCUAGCGUUGCUCGGAAUGACUGGGCGUAAAGGGCGCGUAGGCGGUCUGCUAAGUUGGAUGUGAAAACUCUGGGCUUAACCCAGAGCCUGCAUUCAAUACUGACAGGCUAGAGUUCUGGAGGGGAUAGCGGAAUUCCUGGUGUAGCGGUGAAAUGCGUAGAUAUCAGGAGGAACACCGGUGGCGAAGGCGGCAUCCUGGACCGAGAUUGACGCUGAUGCGCGAAAGCCAGGGGAGCAAACGGG